Molecule: ribosomal RNA, 885 nt
Filed under: uncultured Bacteroidota bacterium
Lineage: Bacteria; Pseudomonadati; Bacteroidota
Description: bacterial SSU rRNA
Rfam family: Bacterial small subunit ribosomal RNA
Source: RNAcentral
CGGCAGGCUUAAUACAUGCAAGUCGAGGGGCAGCACGGGGGCAACCCUGGUGGCGACCGGCAAACGGGUGCGGAACACGUACGCAACCUUCCCAAAACUGGUGAAUAGCCUUCCGAAAGGGAGAUUAAUACACCGUAACUUAAUGAAGUGGCAUCACUUUAUUAAUAUAGCUCCGGCGGUUUUGGAUGGGCGUGCGCCUGAUUAGGUAGUUGGUGAGGUAACGGCUCACCAAGCCUGCGAUCAGUAACUGGUGUGAGAGCACGACCAGUCACACGGGCACUGAGACACGGGCCCGACUCCUACGGGAGGCAGCAGUAAGGAAUAUUGGUCAAUGGACGCAAGUCUGAACCAGCCAUGCCGCGUGAAGGAUUAAGGCCCUCUGGGUUGUAAACUUCUUUUAUAGGGGACGAAAAAAGGGCAUUCUUGCUCACUUGACGGUACCCUAGGAAUAAGCACCGGCUAACUCCGUGCCAGCAGCCGCGGUAAUACGGAGGGUGCAAGCGUUAUCCGGAUUUACUGGGUUUAAAGGGUGCGUAGGUGGGUUGGUAAGUCAGUGGUGAAAUCUUCGAGCUUAACUCGGAAACUGCCAUUGAUACUAUCAAUCUUGAAUCAUCUAGAGGUAAGCGGAAUAUGUCAUGUAGCGGUGAAAUGCUUAGAUAUGACAUAGAACACCAAUUGCGAAGGCAGCUUACUAUGGAUGCAUUGACACUGAGGCACGAAAGCGUGGGGAUCAAACAGGAUUAGAUACCCUGGUAGUCCACGCCCUAAACGAUGGAUACUCGACAUUUGUGAUAUACUAUAAGUGUCUAAGCGAAAGCAUUAAGUAUCCCACCUGGGAAGUACGACCGCAAGGUUGAAACUCAAAGGAAUUGACGGGGGUCCGCA